AAAUAAUUAUCUGAAAGUUAAUGUUGGAACAAAAUGGAAUGUUGAAAAAAAUUUGACUGUUUCAGCUCACUGUUCUCCUUUCUUGAGCUUCUGUUCAGUUCAAAGUAACAAAAGUACAAUUAUUUCAGAGCUACCCAAGUACUUGAUGGGGUCAGGGACCUCAGAGAAGAAUCUUCUGUCAGCAUCUGCUAACAAGGAGGGAAAGCGAGCAGAGGCAUCAAACAACAGUUAUGCCCCAACAAUGCCCAACUCGCAGUACCUCAGGAUACUUUUAUUAGAGAACAAAUAAAUGAUGAAGCUGAAGUGACUGUGGGACUGCAACAUCUCUGGAAAUUUACAGAAAUUAAAGCUUUCACAAAUAUUCUCACAGGCAAAUGCUACCCUGGCAGCAGGCCGCAAUGAUAAGGUGAAAGAGUUUGAGACAAGAAAAAAUCAUGGUCAGUGCUUUCCUUUUUUUGAAGUAAAGAGUAUGUUUGUAUUCUCUGUAAGAGUGAAGCACUAGAGUAACCUCUUGGGCCUAAAUGAGCUCACGUGUUGAGGAUUUUCAACAGCUGGGGAAGUGCUGUGGUAAUGACAGCCAUGGGUAGGGAGGCAGCAAGAGCUGUGGUGGAGCUGAAGAGCAGCCAUACAAAUAACAAAAGCUGCCUUGUGCUUCUUAGAUUUGCUAAGGAGGUUAGCCUACAUUUGGACUGCUUUCCUGGACUUGUGAGAAGAGAACAUGAAGACAGUGAAGUGAGAAGAGAGGAGGCCCUAACCUACCUACCGAACAGAAAUUUGACUUGCACCUAUCCUAUAAACAGAAAGCUCCAUGGAACACACAAUGUGUGCAUAGGAGAUUGAUCUACUCCAUAUUGAGAUUAUCAGUUAAGUUUCACACAGCACCAGUAGACUUUUUUUUUUCUUUUUUCUGAAGUCAGUAUAUAAUGGGUGGUUGGGUAAACAAACAUUUAUUUGAACCAGUCUCUGUCUCACUCUACAAUACUAACCUGUUCCUCUUAUGUGCCCCAUUUUUCCCUUACCAUCCAAAUAAGAUCAGUGGACAUUAAGUGGAGAAAGAUGUUACAUUACUGAAAAAAUACAUAUCCAUAGUCCUUAUGACUGGAGGCCAGUAACAGCGGAGUCUCACAGGAUCUAUGGUACCUUUCCUGUUUAAUAUCUAUACCAAUGACCUGCAGGAGGUAAUGUGCACUCUCAUCAAGCCUGCAGAUCACACCAAACUGGAGAGACCAGUCAGUGCACUCAAGUGCAGGGCUGUCUUCCAGCUGCAGGACCUAGACAGGCUGGAGGAAUGGCCUGAAGGGAACUGUAUGAAAGUCUGCCUGGACAGAUGCGAAAAUGCUGCCCUGGGAAGAAAGAAGCCCACACGGUGAUACAAGCUGAGGACUGACUGCGUCGGGAGCAGUCCUGCUGAAAGGGACCUGGUGGACUUGAUGGUCCAUCCAAGUGUCCUGGCAGCUGCUGUGGCAGCAGUUAAGACCAACAGCACUAUAAGCUCUGAGAAGGUGAGCACAGCCGGAAGAUUGUAAGAAAUGUUUAUCGCCCUUCAUUUGGCGCCCAUGAGAGGACAUCACAAGAACUGCAUACGGCUUUGCCACCUGUCCACCCAAGAGAGACAUUGCCAAAAUAAAGUGAGCCUAGCAGAGGGCCA
Long non-coding RNA from Anser brachyrhynchus (Pink-footed goose), 1648 nucleotides. NCBI's taxonomy places the organism in Eukaryota, Metazoa, Chordata, Aves, Anseriformes, Anatidae. The record is from Ensembl.